This 253-nucleotide ribosomal RNA is filed under the name uncultured bacterium. RNAcentral describes it as "partial 16S ribosomal RNA". It matches the Rfam family "Bacterial small subunit ribosomal RNA", at positions 524 to 776 of the family's 1533-position model. The record is from RNAcentral.
UACAGAGGGGGCAAGCGUUAUUCGGAAUUAUUGGGCGUAAAGGGCGCGUAGGCGGCCUGGCAAGUGGAUGGUGAAAUCCCUCGGCUUAACCGAGGAACUGCCAUCCAGACUGCUUGGCUUGAGACCGGGAGAGGUGAGUGGAAUUCCCAGUGUAGCGGUGAAAUGCGUAGAUAUUGGGAGGAACACCAGUGGCGAAGGCGGCUCACUGGACCGGUACUGACGCUGAGGCGCGAAAGUGUGGGGAGCGAACAGG